GCCUGGAUAGCUCAGCCGGCAGAGCACGUCCUUGGUAAGGACGAGGCCGCGGGUUCGAUUCCCACUCCAGGCUCCA
RNAcentral lists this transfer RNA (76 nucleotides) under Candidatus Omnitrophota bacterium. Its description in RNAcentral is "Candidatus Omnitrophica bacterium tRNA-Thr". It matches the Rfam family "tRNA". Rfam says of the family: Transfer RNA (tRNA) molecules are approximately 80 nucleotides in length. Their secondary structure includes four short double-helical elements and three loops (D, anti-codon, and T loops). The record is from RNAcentral. Lineage: Bacteria; Pseudomonadati; Candidatus Omnitrophota.